GCUGUGGUGGCCUUGUGGUUGUGGUUAGGCGUUGGACUUGAAAUCCAAUGGGCUAUAACCGCGCAGGUUCAAAUCCUGCCCGCAGCG
This is a non-coding RNA of Octopus sinensis (East Asian common octopus), 87 nucleotides long. The record is from the annotation of a RefSeq genome assembly. Lineage: Eukaryota; Metazoa; Mollusca; Cephalopoda; Octopoda; Octopodidae.